This is a small nuclear RNA of Loxodonta africana (African savanna elephant), 94 nucleotides long. The record is from Ensembl. NCBI's taxonomy places the organism in Eukaryota, Metazoa, Chordata, Mammalia, Proboscidea, Elephantidae.
CUCCUUCAGCAGCACAUAUACUAAAAUUGGAAUAAUACAGAGAUGAUUAGCAUGGUCUCUAUACAAGAAUAACAUGCAAAUUUAUCCUUUUUUU